RNAcentral lists this ribosomal RNA (253 nucleotides) under uncultured bacterium. RNAcentral's name for it is "partial 16S ribosomal RNA". It matches the Rfam family "Bacterial small subunit ribosomal RNA", at positions 524 to 776 of the family's 1533-position model. The record is from RNAcentral.
UACAGAGGUCCCAAGCGUUGUUCGGAUUCACUGGGCGUAAAGGGUGCGUAGGUGGUCGGGUAAGUCUGAGGUGAAAUCUCCGAGCUCAACUCGGAAACUGCCUUGGAUACUAUCCGGCUUGAGGGUUGGAGGGGGGACUGGAAUUCUCGGUGUAGCAGUGAAAUGCGUAGAUACCGAGAGGAACACCAGUGGCGAAGGCGAGUCCCUGGACAACUCCUGACGCUGAGGCACGAAAGCUAGGGGAGCAAACAGG